GACGAACGCUGGCGGCGUGCUUAACACAUGCAAGUCGAACGAUGAUCUCCCGCUUGCGGGGGUGCUUAGUGGCGAACGGGUGAGUAAUACGUGAGUAACCUGCCCUUGACUCUGGGAUAAGCCUGGGAAACCGGGUCUAAUACUGGAUACUACUUCCUGCCGCAUGGUGGGGGGUGGAAAGGGUUUUACUGGUUUUGGAUGGGCUCACGGCCUAUCAGCUUGUUGGUGGAGUAAUGGCUCACCAAGGCGACGACGGGUAGCCGGCCUGAGAGGGUGACCGGCCACACUGGGACUGAGACACGGCCCAGACUCCUACGGGAGGCAGCAGUGGGGAAUAUUGCACAAUGGGCGGAAGCCUGAUGCAGCGACGCCGCGUGAGGGAUGACGGCCUUGGGGUUGUAAACCUCUUUCAGCAGGGAAGAAGCCACAAGUGACGGUACCUGCAGAAGAAGCGCCGGCUAACUACGUG
RNAcentral lists this ribosomal RNA (469 nucleotides) under uncultured bacterium. RNAcentral's name for it is "partial 16S ribosomal RNA". It matches the Rfam family "Bacterial small subunit ribosomal RNA", at positions 28 to 507 of the family's 1533-position model. The record is from RNAcentral.